This 497-nucleotide ribosomal RNA is filed under the name uncultured bacterium. Its description in RNAcentral is "partial 16S ribosomal RNA". It matches the Rfam family "Bacterial small subunit ribosomal RNA", at positions 28 to 507 of the family's 1533-position model. The record is from RNAcentral.
GAUGAACGCUGGCGGCGUGCCUAAUACAUGCAAGUCGAGCGAACAGACGAGGAGCUUGCUCCUCUGAUGUUAGCGGCGGACGGGUGAGUAACACGUGGAUAACCUACCUAUAAUACUGGGAUAACUUCGGGAAACCGGAUCUAAUACCGGAUAACAUGUUGAACCGCAUGGUUCAACAGUGAAAGACGGUCUUGCUGUCACUUAUAGAUGGAUCCGCGCCGCAUUAUCUAGUUGGUAAGGUAACGGCUUACCAAGGCAACGAUGCGUAGCCGACCUGAGAGGGUGAUCGGCCACACUGGAACUGAGACACGGUCCAGACUCCUACGGGAGGAAGCAGUAGGGAAUAUUCCGCAAUGGGCGAAAGCAUGACGGAGAAACGCCGCGUGAGUGAAGAAGGUCUUCGGAUCGUAAAACUCUGUUAUUAGGGAAGAAAAAAUGUGUAAGUAACUAUGCACGUAUUGACGGUACCUAAUCAGAAAGCCACGGCUAACUACGUG